GACGAACGCUGGCGGCGUGGAUUAGGCAUGCAAGUCGAACGGUAUCAUCCUUUCGGGGGUGAGAGAGUGGCGAACUGGUGAGUAACACGUAGGUUAUCUACCCUCAAGACGGGGACAACCCAGGGAAACUUGGGCUAAUACCGGAUGUGAGCAACUUUUAGUUGUUUGAAAGGUGGCGUAAGCUGUCGCUUGGGGAUGAGCCUGCGUCCUAUUAGUUAGUUGGUGAGGUAACGGCUCACCUAGGCAAUGAUAGGUAGGCGGCCUUAACGGGUGGUCGCCCACACUGGGAUUGAGAUACGGCCCAGACUCCUACGGGAGGCAGCAGUCGAGAAUAGUCUACAAUGGCCGAAAGGCUGAUAGUGCGACGCCGCGUGAACGAGAAGCCCUUCGGGGUGUAAAGUUCUUUUAUAUGUGAGCAGUGCUUUCUAUGUGAACAGCAUGGGGAAGAGAUAUUAGCAUAUGAAUAAGCAACGGCUAACUCCGUGCCAGCAGCCGCGGU
This 499-nucleotide ribosomal RNA is filed under the name uncultured bacterium. Its description in RNAcentral is "bacterial SSU rRNA". It matches the Rfam family "Bacterial small subunit ribosomal RNA", at positions 28 to 521 of the family's 1533-position model. The record is from RNAcentral.